CCUACGGGUGGCUGCAGUGGGGAAUAUUGGGCAAUGGGGGCAACUCUGACCCAGCAAUGCCGCGUGAAUGAAGAAGGCCUUCGGAUUGUAAAGCUCUUUUAUCAGGGACGAAGAAGAUGACGGUACCUGAGUAAUAAGCCACGGCUAACUAUGUGCCAGCAGCCGCGGUAAUACAUAGGUGGCAAGCGUUUUCCGGAAUGACUGGGCGUAAAGGGAGCGUAGGCGGCCUGUUAAGUUGGAUGUGAAAUCCCGGGGCUCAACCCCGGAAUUGCUUUGAAUACUGACGGACUUGAGUGUAAGAGAGGUAGGCGGAAUUCGUGGUGUAGCGGUGGAAUGCGUAGAUAUCAGGAGGAACACCAGUGGCGAAGGCGGCUUACUGGACUAUAACUGACGCUGAGGCUCGAAAGCGUGGGUAGCAAACAGGAUUAGAUACCCUUGUAGUC
Molecule: ribosomal RNA, 443 nt
Filed under: uncultured bacterium
Lineage: Bacteria
Description: partial 16S ribosomal RNA
Rfam family: Bacterial small subunit ribosomal RNA
Source: RNAcentral